UACGUAGGCGGAAAAUUAAGUCAGUGGUGAAAUCCUGCAGCUUAACUGUAGAACUGUCAUUGAUACUGAUUUUCUUGAAUAUAGUUGAGGUAGGCGGAAUGUGUAAUGUAGCGGUGAAAUGCUUAGAUAUUACACAGAACACCGAUUGCGAAGGCAGCUUACUAAGCUAUUAUUGAUGCUGAGGCACGAAAGCGUGGGGAGCGAACAGGAUUAGAUACCCUGGUAGUCC
This 229-nucleotide ribosomal RNA is filed under the name uncultured bacterium. RNAcentral's name for it is "partial 16S ribosomal RNA". It matches the Rfam family "Bacterial small subunit ribosomal RNA", at positions 568 to 796 of the family's 1533-position model. The record is from RNAcentral.